Molecule: ribosomal RNA, 253 nt
Filed under: uncultured bacterium
Lineage: Bacteria
Description: partial 16S ribosomal RNA
Rfam family: Bacterial small subunit ribosomal RNA
Source: RNAcentral
UACGUAGGGUGCAAGCGUUUAAUCGGAAUUACUGGGCGUAAAGCGUGCGCAGGCGGUUUUGUAAGUUUGUCGUGAAAGCCCCGGGCUCAACCUGGGAAUGGCGAUGAAGACUGCAAGGCUAGAGUGUGUCAGAGGGGGGGUAGAAUUCCACGUGUAGCAGUGAAAUGCGUAGAGAUGUGGAGGAACACCGAUGGCGAAGGCAGCCCCCUGGGAUAACACUGGACGCUACAUGCACGAAAGCGUGGGGAGCAAA